UACGAAGGGUGCAAACGUUGCUCGGAAUCAUUGGGCGUAAAGCGCACGUAGGCGGCUUCGCAAGUCGGAUGUGAAAUCCCUCGGCUCAACCGAGGACGUGCAUACGAAACUGCGGAGCUUGAGUGCUGAAGAGGAUCGCGGAAUUCCCGGUGUAGAGGUGAAAUUCGUGGAUAUCGGGAGGAACACCAGUGGCGAAGGCGGCGAUCUGGGCAGACACUGACGCUGAGGUGCGAAAGCGUGGGGAGCAAACAGG
Molecule: ribosomal RNA, 253 nt
Filed under: uncultured bacterium
Lineage: Bacteria
Description: partial 16S ribosomal RNA
Rfam family: Bacterial small subunit ribosomal RNA
Source: RNAcentral